AAGGUCAACUAAUAGCGAAAUUCGGAAGGCGCUAUAGAAGGUUGAUCGAUAGAAGAGUUCGGAAGGCGUUGUGGAAGUUCGUCCGCUGGAGGAAUCUGGAGGAUACUGUGGAAGGUCCACUGCUGGAGAGGUCCGGAGGAAAUUUAUCCGUUGGAGGGUUCUGGUUGGCACUAUUGAAGUCCGGUUGACGCUAUUGAAGGUUGAUGGCUGGAGAG
RNAcentral lists this long non-coding RNA (215 nucleotides) under Elaeis guineensis (African oil palm). RNAcentral's name for it is "long non-coding RNA (EGUI_LNC058295)". Lineage: Eukaryota; Viridiplantae; Streptophyta; Magnoliopsida; Arecales; Arecaceae. The record is from RNAcentral.